CUUUCUUGGAAAACCCCUGAUAACGUUGCUACACAAAGGUUGGGAGAGUCCCUGACGGCCUGUGAGGGACCAUGUGGGGCUGGGGGUGGAUAGGGGAGCUUGACUCUGCAGUCCCCAGGGCAGUCUGAGUCCCCAGUGCCUGGCGUGGGUGAGCUCAGGGCUGCUCCGUAUGGGGGCAUCCAGGCCUGGCUGCUGAUGCCCUGUGGCUGAGGACACCUCCAUCUGCAUGAGCCAGUUUGGAAGUCCAGCUUGCCCCCCAGGCAGUGGAGGCCAGAGUCAUUUUGGAUUUGGGCUGACCUGGUAGACUUCUGAAAGACAGUGCUCUGGGUUCAAGUUGUCCUCAGGGCUGGAUGAUCCAUAGCAAAUAUCCCCUGAUGGAUAAGCAUUGUGCUGAGAGACUUGCCUCCAUCAGCUGUGUAAACCUCAGGAUGACCUGCACACAGGUAUACUAAGGCACACAGAGACCAGCUCGUAGUCAGUGACAAGUAACUUGCCAAGAGCUGUGGUUUAAAAGCAUGUCUGCAAAUUCUUGGACACUCUUGUCAUCCAGAAAUAGAGUCUAACCCUCCUCCCUUGAAUACGGGCUGGCUUCAGUGGUGGAAAUGACAAUGUGUGAGUUUGAGGUUUGAUUAGAAAAGAUGACACAGCCUCUGCCUGACUCUCAAGGCCCUUGUUCUUGGACAUUAGCUGCCAUGCUGGGAGGAAGCCCAGCAGCCACACAGAGAGGCCACGACAGCCGAGGUCCCAGCCAAGCCAGCAUCAACUGCCCAACACGUCAAUGAGUGAUCCUGCAGAGCCUCCCAUCUCCUAGCCACCGCAGCUGAUGCUCUGAGAGCGGAGGCAAGCUGUCCUUGCUGGGCGCUGCUUAAACUGCAGAUGUAUGAACAAAAUAAAAAUGGUGGUUAUUUUAAGACACUACAUUUUGGGUCUCUAGGUGUUUGGGGGUGGUUUUUCUCUAGCAAUAGGUCCCCAGUCUUGUGCUUUUAGGGUCCUUGUCAAGAAGAAAAGUACAAUGAGGAGGCGAGCCAUGUGCCCCUUACUCUAUCCAGGUCUGCUGCCUAAUGUUCAUCCCACCCACCCUCAUAAAGCUGGAGCCUGAAGCAGGCUCUGAGGGCUGCCUGGUGCUAAGUGCUGGUAUUUCUGGUGCUUGGUUCACCGCUGCUCCCUGGCAGUCACUGGAACUGCUUAGCUCAGUGCACUGAACCCACAUCAUUAGAGGAAAGGAGGUGGCUAAGGGCAUCUCACCACACCACGGGGCCACUAAAGCCAAUGCCUGGGCUUGGAAGGCAGUAUUAUCUUCCUGCCCUGACCCCCAGCAUCUUACAAGUAUUUCCAUUUUUGGAAACCACCAUUCCACUUUCCAUUUCCCAUCUCUGUGAAUCUGACUCCCCUAGGUGCCUCC
RNAcentral lists this long non-coding RNA (1402 nucleotides) under Homo sapiens (human). Its description in RNAcentral is "HSALNT0353516". The record is from RNAcentral. Lineage: Eukaryota; Metazoa; Chordata; Mammalia; Primates; Hominidae.